Long non-coding RNA from Neomonachus schauinslandi (Hawaiian monk seal), 150 nucleotides. RefSeq lists it as uncharacterized. The record is from RefSeq and is a predicted model, not a curated record. NCBI's taxonomy places the organism in Eukaryota, Metazoa, Chordata, Mammalia, Carnivora, Phocidae. The transcript has 5 exons.
CCCCAAGGGCGCGCCUGGAGAGCGGGGAAGUCUGGGACCCCCGGGACCUCCCGGGCUGGGGGGCAAAGGCCUCCCCGGACCCCCCGGAGAGGCAGGAGAGAGUGGUGUCCCAGGUGGAAUGGGCCUCCGGGGCCCCCCGGGACCCUCUGG